Small nucleolar RNA from Erinaceus europaeus (western European hedgehog), 126 nucleotides. The record is from Ensembl. NCBI's taxonomy places the organism in Eukaryota, Metazoa, Chordata, Mammalia, Eulipotyphla, Erinaceidae.
AAAGUUUGAUCAGAGCAGGAAGCCUAAAAAAUGGUUUUUCUGUUUAUAAUAUAUCCAGUAGGAACUGGGUUCAUUGACAAGGGCCAUGAAAGUCUUGACCUAACCAUGAACACAUAACCCUACUCU